RNAcentral lists this ribosomal RNA (253 nucleotides) under uncultured bacterium. RNAcentral describes it as "partial 16S ribosomal RNA". It matches the Rfam family "Bacterial small subunit ribosomal RNA", at positions 524 to 776 of the family's 1533-position model. The record is from RNAcentral.
UACGUAGGGUGCAAGCGUUGUCCGGAAUUAUUGGGCGUAAAGAGCUCGUAGGCGGUCUGUCGCGUCGAAUGUGAAAACCCGGGGCUCAACCCCGGGCCUGCAUUCGAUACGGGCAGACUAGAGUUCGGUAGGGGAGUCUGGAAUUCCUGGUGUAGCGGUGAAAUGCGCAGAUAUCAGGAGGAACACCGAUGGCGAAGGCAGGUCUCUGGGCCGAUACUGACGCUGAGGAGCGAAAGCGUGGGGAGCGAACAGG